AUCACAGCCACUUUUACGCACAGUUACAAACAUCUUUGGGUCUCAGUAUGAUGAUAAACUCAUUGGAAAUGGAGAAAGGAACCUGAUAGAUGGGGGAGGAGGGCGAGAUCGUCUGAUUGGUGCUGAAGGAGAAGACAUUUACAUGGUGAAAGGCAGAAAACGUUCCUCUGUGCUCAUUGAAAAUUACUCCAGAGACGAGAAAACUGACCUGGCCAUCAUAGAAGCAAAUCUUCAUACGUUUCGAGUCAGAGUAGAAUGUGAUGAUGUUCAUCUGGUGGCUCAACAUGGCAGCACUCUUCUUCGUGUUACUGUAGUGAACUGGUUCAGGUCAUCAGCACACAGACACUUGCUGUUCAUCACAAAGGAUCUGAUCACCUUCACAGUGUCAGAUAACAAAGCUGACUGCCUGCAGAGGAACAUCUUCACCACAUGUAUAAAGAGCCUCAGCAUUGACUACAGCAGCUCCCCGUCUCCUCUGGAGGUGGACCUUGAGAAGGAUGAUGCUUUGGACAGCGUGACAGAGGUCCGCGGGUCAAACUAUAACGAUGUCAUCAAAGGAAACAAAGAACACAACGUUGUCGUCCCUGGAUUAGGAGAUGAUUUCAUUGAGGGGAGAGGAGGAGAGGACUGGUACGUUAUCACAGCAGGACAAGGAGUGAAAACCAUCAACAAUCUAUCACCAGAUCUAACCUUGGACCUGCUCUUCCUUAAAGAACAAUAUCAGCAUAUAACAUGUAGAUGUGAAGGUCAGAGCAUCAUCGUUCAGGUACACGGCAGAAGAACUGUUAUUUUACAGAACUGGUUUAAAUCAAAGAAUUAUCAGCACCUGCAGAUCAAGACCAGUGAUGGAGUAACAGCUGGACUGAAGCCCAGCAUCAGCAGCUGUGGAUGGGAUUUAAUGCUGCCUUUAACCAUCGACUACAGAAACCAGAGAUGUGAAACCUGUCUGGGGAAAUGGAUGAAACUCAGUGACUCAGUGAAAGAAAUGUACGGCUCCUCAGGAUUUGACGUCAUGGUUGGAAACAGCAAUGAUAAUUUACUGGAUCCACACACCGGGGGGGCACUGAUGAUAGGAGGGGAAGGCAAAGACACUUACAUAAUCAAACAUGUGGAUGAAAGCAUAAUCAUUGAUAACUUUGCAGAAGAUCAGAAAACUGACACUGUGCUGGUAGAUAUGGAUUUCCUUGAUGGAAGUCAAGUCAUACUGUACUCAACAAGAAAUAAUGUUCAUGUUAGAAUCAUGAAAAAAGAGGAAAUAUUAAAAUUCAUUCUUUUCAAUUACGGUAAUGAUGAAAAAUAUCAGCAUCUAGAAUUUCAGAGCUCUGAUGGCGUCCAUUUCAAACUCAAGUCUCUAAACUCAGCUGGAGACGACUCUUUCUAUCAGGUAGAAGCUUUCAAAGUGACUCUCACACAGUCUCCGGUGGACUGUCGUUUGGACCUCAGCGCUCAGAGAAAUCUGUCAGAGGUUCACACAGUGCAAGGCUGCCCCUCCCAGUCUAAUGUUAUAAUAGGCAACAACCGAGACAACGCUCUGAUUGGUGGGUGGAAGGACGACGCCUUGGAUGGAGGUGAUGGAGAUGACACGCUGGUAGGAGGAAAUGGAGCUGACAUCCUGAUUGGUGGGAGAGGAGACGACACUCUUUAUGGUGAAGAUGGAAAUGACACACUGAUGGGAAACUCUGGCCGGGACGUCUUCCUUCCUGGACCAGGAGCUGAUCUGGUGGACGGAGGUCCAGGCAGAGACUCUGUUCUCUAUCGGGGUGAUCAUGAGAAGGGUGAAGGGGUUUAUGUUAACCUGCUGACGGGCCAAGGCCACCAUGCUGACGCUGAGGGCGACGUGUUGAAGGAUGUGGAAACUGUGAUCGGCACCAUCUAUUCGGACAUCUUAGUGUCUGGUUAUGAAAGUUCUCUUCUCAAAGGCUCAGAUGGUAACGACAUCUUGGUGUCCACUGGUGGAGAUUAUCUGGUUGGAGGUGAUGGAAAUGACAUUUACAUGUUCACUUUCAGCAACGGCUCAGUCACCAUAGACAACUGUGCGACAGACAACGCCACAGAUGUCUUGUAUUUAGCGUCCCAGUCAACGCUGGCAUGUGACUAUCAGGUUUCAUCUGAGAAAGUUAUUCUGACUUUUUAUGGAACCAACCAAGAAGCUAUGAAGAUUUCUCUAAGGGGCUGGAUCAGUGACAACAAUGAGUGUGGGCACCUGAAGCUGGUUCUGAGAGAAACUAAUGUUUCAGUGGAUCAACUGCUCCAAGAAUGUCAGUCACGAUGAGUAAACGGUGCUUUGCUUGUCAGUCAUCUGCUGAAAAAUCUGGUGGUGUUUUAAUAAAAAAAAUGUAAAUCAAUGCAUUUUAGUGUAAAAAUGCUACAAAGUGUUUUACAUGCUAAAGUUUCCUGAAACUGUGCAAAACGACUUAAACAUUUUUGUAUGGUUCUUUAAUUAUGCUAAGCCUGAAAUCAGCCUUCAGAAGACAAAAAGAAGAUGUUGAAAUGGCACAAAUAAAUUGUAAACCUUU
Molecule: long non-coding RNA, 2516 nt
Organism: Astatotilapia calliptera (eastern happy)
Lineage: Eukaryota; Metazoa; Chordata; Actinopteri; Cichliformes; Cichlidae
Source: Ensembl